GUACAGUUUACUGAUUCCAUUCAUUUUUCAUUUCUGCCUCAGAAAUUGUUGAAAGAAUUCUCAGCAGACGGUCUGAAAAGCUCGCCUUAAGCCAGGAGCUGGUGGUGGGUGGAGUUGGAGGUUCAGAAGAAAGAACUAAUGGUGUGGGGAGGAAGAACAAAACACUGUAAAGAUGUGAGGGAGUGGAAAGAGACCUGGAUCUGGUGUGUCAUUACUAAUGAAGGCCUUUGUGAAUGGUUGUGUGCAGCUGUGCUUCCUUUCAAGACGACUUGAUCUGGAGUGACGGAUGUUCGCUAUGAAGAUAUCUUUUUCUACAAGCGAUAAUCCUGUUGUACUGCCCAAACUACAAUAUUUGGACAAAGCAGCAGAGACAGUAAAGUGAGG
Molecule: long non-coding RNA, 384 nt
Organism: Larimichthys crocea (large yellow croaker)
Lineage: Eukaryota; Metazoa; Chordata; Actinopteri; Sciaenidae
Exons: 3
Source: RefSeq, a predicted model, not a curated record